This 480-nucleotide ribosomal RNA is filed under the name uncultured bacterium. RNAcentral's name for it is "partial 16S ribosomal RNA". It matches the Rfam family "Bacterial small subunit ribosomal RNA", at positions 28 to 523 of the family's 1533-position model. The record is from RNAcentral.
GACGAACGCUGGCGGUGUGCUUAACACAUGCAAGUCGAACGGAAGGGCCCUGCUUGCAGGGUACUCGAGUGGCGAACGGGUGAGUAACACGUGGGUGAUCUGCCCUGCACUUCGGUAUAAGCCUGGGAAACUGGGGUUAAUACCGGAUAGGAGCCAUUUUUAGUGUGAUGGUUGGAAAGUUUUUUCGGGGUAGGAUGAGCUCGCGGCCGUUCAGCUUGUUGGUGGGGUAAUGGGCUACCAAGGCGGCGACGGGUAGCCGGCCUGAGAGGGUGGACGGCCACAUUGGGACUGAGAUACGGCCUAGACUCCUACGGGAGGCAGCGGUGGGGAAUAUUGCACAAUGGGCGCAAGCCUGAUGCAGCGACGCCGCGUGGGGGAUGACGGCCUUCGGGUUGUAAACUCCUUUCGCUAGGGACGAAGCUUUUGUGACGGUACCUAGAUAAGAAGCACCGGCUAACUACGUGCCAGCCGCCGCAGUAA